RNAcentral lists this ribosomal RNA (270 nucleotides) under uncultured bacterium. Its description in RNAcentral is "partial 16S ribosomal RNA". It matches the Rfam family "Bacterial small subunit ribosomal RNA", at positions 28 to 307 of the family's 1533-position model. The record is from RNAcentral.
GACGAACGCUGGCGGCGUGCUUAACACAUGCAAGUCAAGGGGGCCCAGCAAUGGGCAACCGGCGAACGGGUGCGUAACACGUGAGCAACCUACCGAACUGUGGGGGAUAGCCGGCCUAACGGCCGAGUAAUACCGCAUACGCUUUCAGUGAGGCAUUUCAUUGAAAGGAAACCUACGGGACAGAUCGAGGGGCUCGCGGCCUAUCAGCUAGUUGGCGAGGUAACGGCUCACCAAGGCAACGACGGGUAGCUGGUCUGAGAGGAUGGCCAG